Molecule: long non-coding RNA, 2351 nt
Organism: Oreochromis aureus
Lineage: Eukaryota; Metazoa; Chordata; Actinopteri; Cichliformes; Cichlidae
Source: Ensembl
GGGUUAUUCAGAUCCACAAGACGUGGUGCAGUAUAAGUUGGCCAAGACUUUGACAUUGUGUGAUUAAUUUAGGUUAAUUUAGUUUCAGGAGUUCACUCUUCACUCUUCAAAGAUGCAAUGAGCUGUGUGUUAGAACUAUGAUCUUUAGAUUCUUAAAACAAUGAGGUGAUGACAUCACAAGAUUUUGGAAUUCUUGGUUUCCAUGGCUACAGAACAUCAGCCUGGGCUAGGCAGUAAUUUCUGGUGAAGGCAAAGUUCUGUAAAUAUUUAUUUAGGGGUACAAUAUGGCAAAAACUGUAGAGCAGCUGCAUAAACGCAUGUUUAUAGAGGGCUGCUUCAAGGUGGGAACCCUGCUUUUACAACAAGGGACACAAAACUAGUUAGGAACAAGCAAUGAAUGUUAUAGAUAAUAUUAUAGCAACAAGAAAUAUUUGUGCUUAGGUAAAAAAAACAUUUGUGAGAACCUGUGCAUUUGUGUAGUUUUAAGUGUAGUUGUAUUUUCGUGUAAGAAAUUAUCUUUCAAAGGCUUUUACACAGCAAAUAGUGUAGCCUUCACUAGCUAACAGUGAAGGCUAAUGGAUGGCUUUGCAGGCUAAAAGCUAACAGCACAGUUUAAGUCAAAAUUCACUUGAUUUCAGUUUUAUUUAUACAGCGCCAAAUCACAACAACAGCUGCCUAAAGGUGCUGAAAUGUGGUAACUGAUCUAUAAAUUGUAUCUGUGAGCAUUAUUGUGACUAGCUACUUGGUAAACGUUAUUCUUUUCCCUUUUCUGCCUAAUGUCUUUUCUUUAUCACUCACCAUAGUUUAUUUGCGCUCUUUUGCAAAACCUAUUUUCUAUUGGCUCAAUUGUGUGCCUAUCAAGUUUAUUUUGUUCUCCUUUCACCUUUUUGGCUUAACCCAUACAUGCUUGACUGCGAUUGGUUAAGAGAAGUAAAUCCCUCCUCCUUAUGCUGACUGAGGGAGAUUCCGCGCGUGUAAUGCAGAUAUGGCUAUCGCGCAUCGGGUGAAAUGCUAGAGCAAGCCUUCCGUGAUUAGUGAGGGAAAAUACUUUCUGCAUUGGCAAAAAAUAACAGACCAUAACCGGGAUUUGGUUGAGGAGGAGCAGAACGGAAUCACCAAGAAGACCGGAGGUUGUUUCUACGGGAAUUAUAGUACUUCCGACUGUUUUGGUCCACAACAUGGGAACAGAGUAGCUGCGAGAGAAUUCAACAUUAAUGAAUCAAUGGUACGGAAGUAGAGGAAGCAAGAAGAAUGAGUUGAGUAAAGUUUGACUUAUCUGACUGUUUUGUUUCACUUAUUGCGCCCUAUAAUCUGAAAAAUACGGUAACUUCUACCUUCCUGUAAUAUGUCCAGAAGUCCAACUUUUUGUGCGAUGGUUAGCAUCUUCCUUGGCCUUUUGGGUGCUACCGCAGGUGUCUUUGGCCAUGCAAAACGUUUCAUUGACAUUGCUGUGUUUGUUGGGGAGAAACACCUUCUUCCUUCAUCAAGAUGGCUGCUAGGGUGCAGACACACAGCUUGGCAGGUCCUGUGCUUUUGCCAAAAAACCCACCUAAAAAACCAUCUAAAAACCCCUGGAUCUUGACAUCAACUUGUCUUUUUGUUUUUAUACAUUUUUAUCUUCUGUGGAGUUCGACAUGUCCAAGAAAGCUGGAUAAUUAUACCACUUUCCCAGCCAAAUGGAGUCAACAUCUUUUGUUCACAAGCUUCUUGGAUUUUGGUCAUGCUGGACCACCCCCAGGUAAACACGAACAAUCAAAUAUACCACAACUGUCGCUGGAGAUUCUGAAACUUGUUCUGAUGCUACUUUUGGCUGGUGAUAUAGAACUAAAUCCUGGACCUAAUUCAAACAUCAGUGAUUUGGACUGGCUACAACUAAUUAGCCUAGUUAGCCUAUGGGCACAGCUAUCUCUGCAUUGCUUUCCACCUCAACUAACUGUGCUCCAACCACCGUCCCAGUUAGUAAGGCUACACCUGCAGCUAAUAGUGUUUACCCCCCUGUUGUCUGGGCCUCCACUUCUGCUGUUUGGGUUACCACCUCAGCUGCUCGGGCCUCCUCCUCAGUUGCCUGGGUUUCUGCCUCAGCUGCCUGGGCCUCCAUCUCAGCUGCCUGGGCCUCCAUCUCAGCUGCCUGGGCCUCCAUCUCAGCUGCCUGGGCCUCCAUCUCAGCUGCCUGGGCCUCCAUCUCAGCUGCCUGGGCCUCCAUCUCAGCUGCCUGGGUUUCCACUGUGGUUGCCUGGGCCUUCGCCUCAGCUGCCUGGGCCUCCGCCUCUGCUGCCUGGGCCUCCGCCUCUGCUGCCUGGGCCUCCGCCUCUGCUGCCUGGGCCUCCGCCUCUGCUGCCUGGGCCUCCGCC